RNAcentral lists this microRNA (21 nucleotides) under Homo sapiens (human). Its description in RNAcentral is "hsa-miR-6872-3p". Lineage: Eukaryota; Metazoa; Chordata; Mammalia; Primates; Hominidae. The record is from miRBase by way of RNAcentral.
CCCAUGCCUCCUGCCGCGGUC